AGAGUUUGAUCCUGGCUCAGGAUGAACGCUGGCGGCGUGCUUAACACAUGCAAGUCGAGCGAAGCAGUUAAGUUGAUUUCUUCGGAUUGAUUCUUAACUGACUGAGCGGCGGACGGGUGAGUAACGCGUGGGUGACCUGCCCCAUACCGGGGGAUAACAGCUGGAAACGGCUGCUAAUACCGCAUAAGCGCACAGAGCUGCAUGGCUCGGUGUGAAAAACUCCGGUGGUAUGGGAUGGGCCCGCGUCUGAUUAGGCAGUUGGCGGGGUAACGGCCCACCAAACCGACGAUCAGUAGCCGGCCUGAGAGGGCGACCGGCCACAUUGGGACUGAGACACGGCCCAAACUCCUACGGGAGGCAGCAGUGGGGAAUAUUGCGCAAUGGGGGAAUCCCUGAUGCAGCGACGCCGCGUGAAGGAAGAAGUAUCUCGGUAUGUAAACUUCUAUCAGCAGGGAAGAUAGUGACGGUACCUGACUAAGAAGCCCCGGCUAACUACGUGCCAGCAGCCGCGGUAAUACGUAGGGGGCAAGCGUUAUCCGGAUUUACUGGGUGUAAAGGGAGCGUAGACGGUGUGGCAAGUCUGAUGUGAAAGGCAUGGGCUCAACCUGUGGACUGCAUUGGAAACUGUCAUACUUGAGUGCCGGAGGGGUAAGCGGAAUUCCUAGUGUAGCGGUGAAAUGCGUAGAUAUUAGGAGGAACACCAGUGGCGAAGGCGGCUUACUGGGACGGUAACUGACGUUGAGGCUCGAAACCGUGGGGGAGCAAACAGGAUUAGAUACCCUGGGUAGUCCACGCCCUAAACGAAUGGAUACUAGGUGUAGGAAGUAUCCACCCCCUUCUGUGCCGGAGUUAACGCAAUAAGUAUCCCGCCUGGGAAGUACGACCGCAAGGUUGAAACUCAAAGGAAUUGACGGGGGCCCGCACAAACAGUGGAGUAUGUGGUUUAAUUCGACGCAACGCGAAGAACCUUACCAAGUCUUGACAUCCUGCGACGCACAUAGAAAUAUGUGUUUCCUUCGGGACGCAGAGACAGGUGGUGCAUGGUUGUCGUCAGCUCGUGUCGUGAGAUGUUGGGUUAAGUCCCGCAACGAGCGCAACCCUUAUGGUCAGUUACUACGCAAGAGGACUCUGGCCAGACUGCCGUUGACAAAACGGAGGAAGGUGGGGAUGACGUCAAAUCAUCAUGCCCUUUAUGACUUGGGCUACACACGUACUACAAUGGCGUUAAACAAAGAGAAGCAAGACCGCGAGGUGGAGCAAAACUCAGAAACAACGUCCCAGUUCGGACUGCAGGCUGCAACUCGCCUGCACGAAGUCGGAAUUGCUAGUAAUCGCAGAUCAGCAUGCUGCGGUGAAUACGUUCCCGGGCCUUGCACAAACCGCCCGUCA
This 1389-nucleotide ribosomal RNA is filed under the name uncultured bacterium. Its description in RNAcentral is "bacterial SSU rRNA". It matches the Rfam family "Bacterial small subunit ribosomal RNA". The record is from RNAcentral.